UUUAAGUCCGUGGCAGCGGCCGUGGUAGGACGGAGGGGCCAAGAGUUAAGCGGAAUCAAUGGGUUGAAAGGGUCCGUAGGCGUGCGGAUAAGGCAGUGGGGAAAGCCCAUCGGUCAACGAUGGAAGUGUCAUUGAUACUGUAAGACUUGAAUGCUUAGGAAGUAACUAGAAUAUGUAGUGUAGCGGUGAAAUGCUUAGAUAUUACAUGGAAUACCAAUUGCGAAGGCAGGUUACUACUAAGUGAUUGACGCUGAUGGACGAAAGCGUGGGGAGCGAACAGGAUUAGAUACCCGAGUAGUC
RNAcentral lists this ribosomal RNA (300 nucleotides) under uncultured Piscicoccus sp. RNAcentral's name for it is "bacterial SSU rRNA". It matches the Rfam family "Bacterial small subunit ribosomal RNA", at positions 496 to 795 of the family's 1533-position model. Lineage: Bacteria; Bacillati; Actinomycetota; Actinomycetes; Micrococcales; Dermatophilaceae. The record is from RNAcentral.